Non-coding RNA from Mus musculus (house mouse), 292 nucleotides. The record is from Rfam. Lineage: Eukaryota; Metazoa; Chordata; Mammalia; Rodentia; Muridae.
GGAUGUGAGGGUGAUCUGGCUGUGACAUCUGUCACCUCAUUGAUCGCCAGGGUUGAUUUGGCUGAUCUGGCUGGCUAGGCAGGUGUCCCCUUCCUCCCUCACCAGCUAGGUCGAAGAGGAUGGCCCUCCCCGAACAGAGGAGGACCAGUCCUCUGUCAAAGAUAUAUGAGUGGCUGUGCUACCCUGCUAGAACCUCCAAACAAGCUCUCAAAUUAGAUCCUUGACACCUAAAAUUUUAUCACUGAAAUUAAAAUCCUGUCACUUUUUCUUGAGGUUCAUUUUGACAAAUGUU